GACGAACGCUGGCGGCGUGCUUAACACAUGCAAGUCGAGCGGUAAGGCCCUCGGGUACGACGAGCGGCGAACGGGUGGAGUAACACGUGGGUGGACCUCGCCCUUACGCUCUGGGAGUAAGCCUCGGGAAACGUAGGGUCGUAAUACCGGAUAUGACCUCAUGACGCAUGUUGUGGGGUGGAAAGCCUUGUGCGGCUAGGGAGUGGGCCCGCGGCCUAUCAGCUUGUUGGUGGGGU
This 236-nucleotide ribosomal RNA is filed under the name uncultured bacterium. Its description in RNAcentral is "partial 16S ribosomal RNA". It matches the Rfam family "Bacterial small subunit ribosomal RNA", at positions 28 to 258 of the family's 1533-position model. The record is from RNAcentral.